GGAUGCGAUCAUACCAGCAUUAAAGAUAUGGAUCCCAUCAGAACUCUGAAGUUAAGCGUGCUUGGGCCAGAGUAGUACUAGGAUGGGUGACCUCUUGGGAAGUCCUCGUGUAGCAUUCC
This is a non-coding RNA of Triticum aestivum (bread wheat), 119 nucleotides long. NCBI's taxonomy places the organism in Eukaryota, Viridiplantae, Streptophyta, Magnoliopsida, Poales, Poaceae. The record is from Rfam.